Molecule: ribosomal RNA, 271 nt
Filed under: uncultured bacterium
Lineage: Bacteria
Description: partial 16S ribosomal RNA
Rfam family: Bacterial small subunit ribosomal RNA
Source: RNAcentral
UACGUAGGGGGCAAGCGUUGUCCGGAUUUAUUGGGCGUAAAGAGCGUGUAGGCGGCCGAAUAAGUCUGACGUGAAAUCUGGAGGCUCAACCUCCAGCUGUCGUUGGAAACUAUUCGGCUAGAGUCCGGAAGGGGAGAGUGGAAUUCCCGGUGUAGCGGUGAAAUGCGCAGAUAUCGGGAAGAACACCCAUGGCGAAGGCAGCUCUCUGGGACGGUACUGACGCUGAGACGCGAAAGCGUGGGGAGCGAACAGGAUUAGAAACCCGUGUAGU